Molecule: long non-coding RNA, 757 nt
Organism: Aedes albopictus (Asian tiger mosquito)
Lineage: Eukaryota; Metazoa; Arthropoda; Insecta; Diptera; Culicidae
Exons: 2
Source: RefSeq, a predicted model, not a curated record
GGAGAGAAAUCAGUCUAGUUUGAAUCAACCAAAAAUUUGGUUGGCGUUCAAAGUCUGAUUUUUAUUACUCCAACGUAAACAAAUGUUUCAUUCUAAGUUGGGGUUUCUUUCGAAGCAAAUGAUUUUUUAAAGUACAUUUUACCUGAAUGAUUUGCUUCCUCCAAAGUCAUGUUUGCUUUGAUUCAAACUAAGAUUGCACCCUUUAUCAACCGCUAGCAUGUUUGCUUUUACCAAAAGAUAGGUUGGUGAAAAUGAUUCGUCGUUGACAAAUCCAAACUAGGCCUUAGGUUGGAUUACAUCAAGAUGUUAAUUGAAAAUAACCUAAAACUUUGGUUGGGUGGAAAUCAACCUAAAAAAUGGUUCGAAGCAAACUAAGUUAUUAGUUUGUCCACAUCACUGGGUGUUGCGUCAGCCGUACUCUUCCUACUUGCUUGUAGUGUUGUCAGCUGCUGCUUGCUCCGCUUCAGUUUUCAGAUCGUUGGUAUGUACGCCUUGAAAGUGCAAUUGGUUACUAACUGCAAUGGGUCCGUAGAUUGCAUCCGGGAGACAAAUUUGAAGCAACAUAAACAUCAAUAGUGUACGGAUUGACGCACUGUUCGAGCUUCUUCGUCUCACCACAAAGCAACUACUCAACGUUACGACCGGAUUUUCUGUAUGCGUAAGCGAAAUUGAGGACACCCAACGAUGUUUUUUGUGAAGGAAGACCAUGAUUCUGACCCUUACGGAAGUUGAAGAAAUCAGGAAGAAAUAGAUAUAU